This is a long non-coding RNA of Hirundo rustica (Barn swallow), 734 nucleotides long. RefSeq lists it as uncharacterized. Lineage: Eukaryota; Metazoa; Chordata; Aves; Passeriformes; Hirundinidae. The record is from RefSeq and is a predicted model, not a curated record. The transcript is spliced from 4 exons.
GGCUGGGGGAAAACAGGGAUAGGGAAAGAGGCAGGGUUCUGGGAGGAGAGAGGCUUUGGAGAGAGCUCACUGCAGCCCUGCAGGACCCGAAGGGUUAUUUACAGGCUCGAAAUUCCCAAAACAGAGCUCAAAAUCCGCAGGAAAACUGGGAAAACAUCGCCUGCCCAGCGGGAAUAAACGUCAGGAACCAGCGUGACACGGGACAGGCAGCAGGAAACUCCCGUCCCAUGGGUUUGGCUUGGAAUUCCCAGCUGUAAAUCCCAAUUUGAAUCCUUAAUUGGAUUAAAAAAAAAAUAAAUAAAAAAAUUAAAAAUGGAUAAACAACAUUUCCGUGCUGCUGGGAAAAGCUGCGCCGGCACUUUGGCACCGCCUCGGAGCUGCCAGACCGGGAGGCAGGAGAGAGGGAGAAGCAGAGGGAUCCAGGAACGGCGGUUCCAGAGGAGACGGCAGCGCCGGGGACGGACACGGCGUGAGCAGAAUUCCGCGUCACGCCAGCGGGGCUGGAGCGGGGAUGUGUGAUCAUUUAAUUAUCAAACACCGGAUAACGCUGAUACCUGAUAACUGGAUAACGCUGAUAUCUGAUAACUGGAUAAUGCUGAUAUCUGAUAACUGGAUAAUGCUGAUAUCUGAUUAUUUAAUAAUGCUGAUAUCUGAUUAUUUAAUAAUGUUGAUAUUUGUUAAAUUGAUAGUGCUGAUACUUGACAAUUGGAUAAUGUUGGUAUUUGGUAAUUUAA